RNAcentral lists this ribosomal RNA (237 nucleotides) under uncultured bacterium. RNAcentral describes it as "partial 16S ribosomal RNA". It matches the Rfam family "Bacterial small subunit ribosomal RNA", at positions 1263 to 1500 of the family's 1533-position model. The record is from RNAcentral.
UAGAGCAAAUCUCAAAAAAACAAUCUCAGUUCAGACUGCAGGCUGCAACUCGCCUGCACGAAGUCGGAAUUGCUAGUAAUCGCGGAUCAGCAUGCCGCGGUGAAUACGUUCCCGGGCCUUGUACACACCGCCCGUCACACCAUGGGAGCCGGUAAUACCCGAAGUCAGUAGUCCAACCUCGUGAGGACGCUGCCGAAGGUAGGAUUGGCGACUGGGGUGAAGUCGUAACAAGGUAAC